Molecule: long non-coding RNA, 808 nt
Filed under: Monodelphis domestica (gray short-tailed opossum)
Lineage: Eukaryota; Metazoa; Chordata; Mammalia; Didelphimorphia; Didelphidae
Description: lncRNA (ENSMODG00000047994.1)
Source: RNAcentral
AUGACCCUGGGCAAGUUAAAUCACAUUGAAUCAAGUGGCUUUUCUCCCUCCUUUUCUCUCUCUCUCUCUCUCUCUCUCUCUCUCUCUCUCUCUCUCUCUCUCUCUCUCUCUCUCUCUCUCUCUCCAGUUUCUGUCUCUUUCUUUCCCUCUUUUUUCUUCUUCUUCUCUCUCUUCUUCUCCUCUCUCUUCCUCUCUCCUUCCCUUUUUCCUCACUAUUUCUCUCCCUUUCUUUCUCUUUCUCUCUCUCCUUCUCCCUCUAUCUCUGUCUUCUUCCUUUUCUUCUCUCUUUCUUCUCCUCCUCUCUUCCUCUCUUCUUCUCCCUCUGUCUCUUUCUUCUUCCUCUUCUUCUCUCUUUCUUCUCCUCCUCUCUUCCUCUCUUCUUCCCUUUUUUUCUAUCUCUCGGUUUCUUGCUCCAUUCCUCACUAUUUCUCUCUCCCUCCCUCUCUCCUUCUCCCUCUCUCUCUGUCUCUGUCUUUAUACCUAUCUCUCACUCCCUGCCCAUCCAGAGGAUCAGGAUUCAAUUCCCAUCUUGAACAUACUAUCUGUAUCAUCUUGGGCAAGUCCUUUAAUCUCUAUAGCCCUCUGUUUCCUCAUCUCUAUAGUAAGUGGAUUGAACUAGCAUUCAAAGAUAUGCUAGAGUCAACUUGAAUAGCGCACUAGAGUCCAUUGUCGAGUUUUCAGUGCAAGCAUUUACAACUUGGAAAUGGUCAAAGGGUACAAAUGAGGGACCGAUUUGUCAUCUUGUGGAUUGUCUAGACUUAAGAAAAUGAUAAAUAAAAUGUUAAUGAUGCAGAUUAGAUUUAAAAGU